Molecule: non-coding RNA, 808 nt
Organism: Camelina sativa (false flax)
Lineage: Eukaryota; Viridiplantae; Streptophyta; Magnoliopsida; Brassicales; Brassicaceae
Source: RefSeq, a predicted model, not a curated record
AUGUAUAGUUUUUUUUGUAAUCAAUCUGUUUUUUGUUUUCUAAGAAAGCGAAAAAAAAAAAAGGGUCUUUUUUUGAGUAAAAAGGCUAUAAUAAUACAUUUUCCAAAGAGGUCGCUUUACCGACGCAGACGAAAAGGUUAUGCUAUCGUUUAUCACCAAUAAAACCUUGACACGUCAUUUUAAUUGGAAAAUACGUAAUCGGUGAGAUUUGAGAUUUGGACAUUAAAAAAAAAGGAUAAAGACGGUGGUUGAGUUGAACAUCGUCUCCGGAGCUCCGGCGGAUCUGAACUGAUAAGGAGUGUUGCCUGCGAUUACUCUCGUACAAUUGGAUGAUCUCUCUCUCCAUGGGAAGUCGAGUUCUUGUGGCUUGAGAUUUCGACGAGAGAGUGAUGUAAAGAUUGCAGCUUUUGAUUGUGUCAUCAUCAGUAGUUGAGGAAUCCUGACAAGUAAAGGUGGUAACUUUGGAGAAGAAAAGACGAAGAAGCAGGCCCAAUAACAUAAUCUUAAUGACAAAAGAUUCGGCUUUGCAUUCCCCAGGGUUUGAUGGAUUGGUUUGAGAGAUGGUUAUGGCUCAUCGAGGCAAUGUUACGGGCUUAAGAUGGCUCAUGAAGGACGAACCCAACUCAUGAAGAAGCUCUCAGGUUUUGAAUCUUUCACUGCUAUAUUUAUAGAAAAGAACCAAUGCGGCUUUGUUACAAUUACAGUGGAUGGUUAAUCAAAAGUUAUUUCUCUUUAUUUUGUUAUUCAGUUUUAGAUCAUACAGUGUGUGCUACUAAUAAGUUCUAAUUACAAUACCCUUGUUAUUUAA